This 253-nucleotide ribosomal RNA is filed under the name uncultured bacterium. RNAcentral's name for it is "partial 16S ribosomal RNA". It matches the Rfam family "Bacterial small subunit ribosomal RNA", at positions 524 to 776 of the family's 1533-position model. The record is from RNAcentral.
UACGUAGGGUGCAAGCGUUAAUCGGAAUUACUGGGCGUAAAGCGUGCGCAGGCGGCUUUGCAAGACAGAUGUGAAAUCCCCGGGCUCAACCUGGGAACUGCAUUUGUGACUGCAUGGCUGGAGUGCGGCAGAGGGGGAUGGAAUUCCGCGUGUAGCAGUGAAAUGCGUAGAUAUGCGGAGGAACACCGAUGGCGAAGGCAAUCCCCUGGGCCUGCACUGACGCUCAUGCACGAAAGCGUGGGGAGCAAGCAGG